UAAAGGAAUUGGCGGGGGAGCACUACAAGGGGUGCGGCGUGCGGUUUAAUCUAAUUCAACACAGAGAAUCUCACCAGGAGCGACGGCAGGAUGAAGGUCAAUCUAAAGGGUUUACCUAACGAGCCGAGAGGUAGUGCAUGGCCGUCGUCAGCUCGUGCCGUAAGGUGUCCUGUUAAGUCAGGCAACGAGCGAGACCUGCACUUACAAUUGCUAACUGGCUUUGUGACAGAGCACAUUGUGAGAACUGCCCUUGAAAAGGGGAGGAAGGUGCAGGCUACGAUAGGUCUGUAUGCUCCGAAUCUUCUGGGCUACACGCGCGCAACAAUGAUAAGGACAAUGGGAUGCAACUCCGAGAGGAGAAGCCAAUCCUCAAAACCUUAUCCUAGUCCAGAUCGAGGUUUGUAACUCAACCUCGUGACGCUGGAAUCCCUAGUAAUCAGGUGUUAUCAUCGCCUGGUGAACAUGUCCCUGCUCCUUGCACACACCGCCA
RNAcentral lists this ribosomal RNA (490 nucleotides) under uncultured archaeon. RNAcentral's name for it is "bacterial SSU rRNA". It matches the Rfam family "Archaeal small subunit ribosomal RNA", at positions 857 to 1351 of the family's 1478-position model. The record is from RNAcentral.